RNAcentral lists this ribosomal RNA (498 nucleotides) under uncultured Glomeromycotina. RNAcentral's name for it is "partial small subunit ribosomal RNA". It matches the Rfam family "Eukaryotic small subunit ribosomal RNA", at positions 591 to 1092 of the family's 1831-position model. Lineage: Eukaryota; Fungi; Glomeromycota. The record is from RNAcentral.
CCAAUAGCGUAUAUUAAAGUUGUUGCAGUUAAAAAGCUCGUAGUUGAAUUUCGGGAUUCUACCGUUGGUCGGGCUAUCCAGUCUGUACUAGCGUGUAGAAUUUCUACCUUCUGGGGAACCAUCAUGUUAUUAAUUUAGCGUGGUGGGAAACCAGGACCUUUACCUUGAAAAAAUUAGAGUGUUCAAAGCAGGCAUAUGUCUGAAUACAUUAGCAUGGAAUAAUAAAAUAGGACGGUGGUCCUGUUUUGUUGGUUUCUGAAUCACCGUAAUGAUUAAUAGGGAUAGUUGGGGGCAUUAGUAUUCAAUUGUCAGAGGUGAAAUUCUUGGAUUUAUUGAAGACUAACUUCUGCGAAAGCAUUUGCCAAGGAUGUUUUCAUUAAUCAAGAACGAAAGUUAGGGGAUCGAAGACGAUCAGAUACCGUCGUAGUCUUAACCAUAAACUAUGCCGACUAGGGAUCGGACGAUGUUAAAUAUAAUUGACUCGUUCGGCGCCUUACG